UUUUUUACGAUACCUUCAACUUCGGGACUUUGCCCAGAACCCGGUGGUAAAAACAACUGCACUGACCCCACCCACGUUUUUCGAAAGGAUGUACAUGAAAGAACAAAUUCCAAAAGGCCUAAUUACGUAUCUGUGUGCACACCUAAGCACGAACACAUCUGAAUGGGGGGAACUCACUUAUAUUGCCCAAUGGGAGGCGGACCUGAAUGAGGAGUUGGAAGGCGUUGAGUGGCAGGAGAUCUGGG
This is a non-coding RNA of Pelobates cultripes (western spadefoot toad), 245 nucleotides long. The record is from the annotation of a GenBank genome assembly. NCBI's taxonomy places the organism in Eukaryota, Metazoa, Chordata, Amphibia, Anura, Pelobatidae.